CAAGAUAUCUAUAAAAUCAUAAUAUUUUCUAUUUACUUUUCAUUAAAAAAUUUUACUUUGAUAUACUUUGGCCCACGUGCUAUUAAUGGCCAUCGAGCCGCGUGUUAGCCCACCAAUGAAGCGUGCUUAUUACGUGCCUUUUCGUGUGUCGUGCCUUUAAGGCCUGCGUGUCUAAAAUUUUAGGCCUGACAUGGCCCACAUACGUGUCGUGCCGUGUUGUACUGUACGGACACGUGCCGUGCUUGUGCUAUGCCAUAUACUGCCCCGCCCACUGGCCAUCUUUACCCCGGACGUGCUUGGCACUUAAGAAAGUUCUCCACUUGCAUACACCUCAGCUAUUGUUUCUCUAUGAGACAAAGUUAUCGUUUAAGCAAGCAUAUGAAGAAUGUAGAAACCCCUUAAUUUCAUAAAUAGUCAUACAAACCCAUUUAUGAUAUUAUAGCCUAUAGUUGAAAUAAAAUACAAAUUAUAGUAAUAAGAUAAAAAAUAAAAAAUAAAAUAUCA
RNAcentral lists this long non-coding RNA (504 nucleotides) under Citrus x clementina. Its description in RNAcentral is "Citrus clementina (C. clementina) long non-coding RNA (CCLE_LNC005487)". The record is from RNAcentral. Lineage: Eukaryota; Viridiplantae; Streptophyta; Magnoliopsida; Sapindales; Rutaceae.